CCUACGGGAGGCAGCAGUGGGGAAUUUUGGACAAUGGGCGCAAGCCUGAUCCAGCAAUGCCGCGUGCAGGAUGAAGGCCUUCGGGUUGUAAACUGCUUUUGUACGGAACGAAACGGUCUGCCCUAAUACGGUGGGCUAAUGACGGUACCGUAAGAAUAAGCACCGGCUAACUACGUGCCAGCAGCCGCGGUAAUACGUAGGGUGCAAGCGUUAAUCGGAAUUACUGGGCGUAAAGCGUGCGCAGGCGGUUAUAUAAGACAGAUGUGAAAUCCCCGGGCUCAACCUGGGACCUGCAUUUGUGACUGUAUAGCUAGAGUACGGUAGAGGGGGAUGGAAUUCCGCGUGUAGCAGUGAAAUGCGUAGAUAUGCGGAGGAACACCGAUGGCGAAGGCAAUCCCCUGGACCUGUACUGGCGCUCAUGCACGAAAGCGUGGGGAGCAAACAGGAUUAGAUACCCUGGUAGUCCACGCCCUAAACGAUGUCAACUGGUUGUUGGGUCUUCACUGACUCAGUAACGAAGCUAACGCGUGAAGUUGACCGCCUGGGGGAGGACGGCCGCGAGUAGUAACGACGAAGAAGUAGACGGCGUGAGACGUAGACCGACGACGACGACGAGGGAGGAGG
This 624-nucleotide ribosomal RNA is filed under the name uncultured bacterium. RNAcentral describes it as "bacterial SSU rRNA". The stretch from base 1 to 542 matches the Rfam family "Bacterial small subunit ribosomal RNA", at positions 338 to 873 of the family's 1533-position model. The record is from RNAcentral.